GUCUGACGGAGCACGCCGCGUGAGUGAUGAAGGCUUUCGGGUCGUAAAACUCUGUUGUUAGGGAAGAACAAGUGCUAGUUGAAUAAGCUGGCACCUUGACGGUACCUAACCAGAAAGCCACGGCUAACUACGUGCCAGCAGCCGCGGUAAUACGUAGGUGGCAAGCGUUAUCCGGAAUUAUUGGGCGUAAAGCGCGCGCAGGUGGUUUCUUAAGUCUGAUGUGAAAGCCCACGGCUCAACCGUGGAGGGUCAUUGGAAACUGGGAGACUUGAGUGCAGAAGAGGAAAGUGGAAUUCCAUGUGUAGCGGUGAAAUGCGUAGAGAUAUGGAGGAACACCAGUGGCGAAGGCGACUUUCUGGUCUGUAACUGACACUGAGGCGCGAAAGCGUGGGGAGCAAACAGGAUUAGAUACCCUGGUAGUCCACGCCGUAAACGAUGAGUGCUAAGUGUUAGAGGGUUUCCGCCCUUUAGUGCUGAAGUUAACGCAUUAAGUACUCCGCCUGGGGAGUACGGCCGCAAGGCUGAAACUCAAAGGAAUUGACGGGGGCCUGCACAAGUGGUGGAGCAUGUGGUUCAAUUCGAAGCAGCGCGAAGAACCUUAUCUGGACUUGUCUCCUCUGAAAACCAAGACAUAGGGGUUUCUCCUUCGCGAG
This 653-nucleotide ribosomal RNA is filed under the name Bacillus mycoides. RNAcentral describes it as "bacterial SSU rRNA". It matches the Rfam family "Bacterial small subunit ribosomal RNA", at positions 381 to 1025 of the family's 1533-position model. Lineage: Bacteria; Bacillati; Bacillota; Bacilli; Caryophanales; Bacillaceae. The record is from RNAcentral.